RNAcentral lists this long non-coding RNA (1384 nucleotides) under Capsicum annuum. Its description in RNAcentral is "long non-coding RNA (CANN_LNC022549)". Lineage: Eukaryota; Viridiplantae; Streptophyta; Magnoliopsida; Solanales; Solanaceae. The record is from RNAcentral.
UACUAAAUAACACAUUUAAUAUAAAUCAAAUUUCAUCAAACAAAUACAUAUUAAUAAGCUUUAUGAGUCAUCAUGUUAAAUUGGUUUUAUACAAACUUGUGUAUGAUAACUUGAACAUUACAAUUUUAAAUCCUUAAAAAUCUAAAUAAUUCGACAUCAAAUAAACAUAAAUAUCUAAGUAUUUGAUUGGUGAUUUGAAUUAUAAUCACUCAAUCGUUUUUUCAUGGUGAAGUGAGCUCAAUCUCUGCAUCAGGCUGAAACAAUGAAAAUUGAAUAAAUGAUUAGAUAAACAUUUAUUGAUAUACAUAUAUUUUGAUAAAAAAAAAAUUACAAAAUUCAUCUCAAAAACAAGUUCAUAUAUUGAUAAAUAUUUAUAAGAUUAUGAAUAAAAGAAAAUUACUUUAAUAAUGAUCAAACAGUAAAUGUGAUUGAGAAAUUAUAAUAAUGUUCAUUUAAAUUUAUGAAAAACUGUAUUUUUCUACUAAAAAUAACAAAUAUCAACUAGUGGAGCAUAUUGCAACAAGAACAUAGAUAUUUGAAAAAGAAAGUACAAGAAAAAAAUAAACAUUACCCAGCCUUAUGUUUUCCAAAAUUAUAAAAUGGUGCUCAUUUUAUAUGAGUAUAUUGAUUCAAGUAUUUCUCGCUUCUCUUAAAUUAUAUAUUAGACCCUCCUUGGUAUUAUUUUUAAGUUAUAUUAAUAUCAAUCACAAUCUAAUCUUCAAAAUUAUCUUUUUAAUUUCCAAUAGUCAAAUUCAAUUAAGAAUAAAAUCAUUACAUGAUACUUAACUAAAUAAAAAUAAAAUUGAAACUUAUCUGAAAUCAAUUAAAGGACGAGUACGAAUAACUUUACGAUGUUGUAGAAAUUUAAAAAAAUCUUAAAAUCUGAAAAAUAUUUAUAAAUUCAAUUUAACAACUUGCAAAUAUGUAUAAUACUUAUGAAAUAAAUAAUAAAAAGAACACAUCAGAUGCUCAAACCCAUGUGAUAGAGAAUUACCUCUAUAUUCAUAAUAUUAUUUAUCAUCCCUGCCACUUUGUUGGACCUACAAAAGAUAAAGUCAACUAACAAAAAUCACAUACAAAAAAAAUUCAAAUUGAAAGAGAAAAUGAGGUAAGAUAGGACGAUGCUCAUCUAAGUUCAGUGAGAACAAAAAAGAGAUUAAAAAGUAGUAAAGAAUGAAAGGUUAGGAAUGAAGGGAGCUAGGUGAAAGAGGGGAAAAGAGAUGUGGAUUUGGGUGCUCCUUAGUGGGAAGGGGAAUGGUUAUUAGAUUGAGCUUUAAAAUUUUUGAAGGAAAAUUUUUAUCUUAAUAAUUUAUAACUUUUUGUAAGAGCAGAAAGUAUUACUAGAAUUUUGCUUGAUUUUGGUCCAAAUGUCAAUUGAGAGAAA